This 551-nucleotide ribosomal RNA is filed under the name Marinococcus halophilus. Its description in RNAcentral is "partial 16S ribosomal RNA". It matches the Rfam family "Bacterial small subunit ribosomal RNA", at positions 487 to 1026 of the family's 1533-position model. The record is from RNAcentral. Lineage: Bacteria; Bacillati; Bacillota; Bacilli; Caryophanales; Bacillaceae.
AAAGCCCCNGGCUAAMUNACGUGCCNAGCAGCCNGCGGUAAUACGUAGGGGNGCAAGCGUUGUCCGGAAUUAUUGGGCGUAAAGGGCACGCAGGCGGUUUCGUCAGUCCGAUGUGACAGGCCACGGCUCAACCGUGGAAGGCCAUUGGAAACUGCGAAACUUGAGGACAGAAGAGGAGAGUGGAAUUCCACGUGUAGCGGUGAAAUGCGUAGAUAUGUGGAGGAACACCAGUGGCGAAGGCGACUCUCUGGUCUGUACCUGACGCUGAGGUGCGAAAGCAUGGGNGAGCAAACAGGAUUAGAUACCCUGGUAGUCCAUGCCGUAAACGCUGAGUGCUAGGUGUUAGGGGUUUCGAUACCCGUAGUGCCGAAGCUAACGCAUUAAGCACUCCGCCUGGGGAGUACGACCGCAAGGUUGAAACUCAAAGGAAUUGACGGGGGCCCGCACAAGCGGUGGAGCAUGUGGNUUUAAUUCGACGCAACGCGAARNAACCUUACCAGAUCUUGACAUCUNUCCGCUACGCCUCGAGAGNAGGSGGUUCCCCUUCGGGG